GGGGUGACACCGCGGGGACACCGUCCCCAGGGGUGGCAGGGGGAGGUGACACUGUCCCUGUCUCCAUCCCUGUCCCAGGGGUGACACCGGGAGGUGACACAGGAGGUGACACAGCAGGUGACACAGCAGGUGACACUGUCCUGUCCCUGUCCCAGGGGGUGACACAGGAGGUGACACAGGAGGUGACACAGCAGGUGACACUGUCCUGUCCCCGUCCCAGGGGGUGACACAGCAGGUGACACAGGAGGUGACACAGGAGGUGACACAGGAGGUGACACAGCAGGUGACACAGCAGGUGACACAGCAGGUGACACAGCAGGUGACACUGUCCUGUCCCUUCCAGGGCUCUGGUCCAGCAGCGUUUGGCCGCCUGUGUCAACAUCAUACCCGGGGUGACCUCGGUGUGAGUGGGGACAUGGGGACACUG
This 427-nucleotide long non-coding RNA is filed under the name Lonchura striata (white-rumped munia). Its description in RNAcentral is "domestica (Bengalese finch) lncRNA (ENSLSDG00000006677.1)". Lineage: Eukaryota; Metazoa; Chordata; Aves; Passeriformes; Estrildidae. The record is from RNAcentral.